This 879-nucleotide ribosomal RNA is filed under the name Triticum aestivum (bread wheat). Its description in RNAcentral is "partial small subunit ribosomal RNA". Lineage: Eukaryota; Viridiplantae; Streptophyta; Magnoliopsida; Poales; Poaceae. The record is from RNAcentral.
AUGCAAGGUAAACUGGUUGCUCUGAGCCGGGGUGCCACAUUGCGGGACUGCGAGUUAAGGGACUUGGGCUUCUCCGUUCCUAAAUUUACUUGGUGCAAUCGUCAGGACACAAACAACCUUGUUAAAGUAUGUCUUGAUAGGGCUGUGGUCAACAGUACAUUUAUAGAUUGUUUUGAUGGUUGUUAUAUGGAGAAUAUUGUUGCCACUUCUUCCGACCAUUAUGCCAUCCGAGUUGGGCUCUCUCAUUCUGUACAGGAAGAUGUGCAUCGCCCGGUGCAACAAGGUUUCAAGUUUGAGGCUAUGUGGCUUCGCGCCACCGAUUAUAGAAAUACAUGAGAGCAAGCUUGGGCUGAUGGUAGAAAUGGUGAGGUCUCUCUCAAGUCCAUAUGGGAUAACUUACAGAAAGUUGCUACUUCUUUGAAGACUUGGAGCCAUGAGUGUUUUGGUUCGGUCCGAAAGCAUAUUUACAAACUGGAACGACGACUUUUGUAUGUAAGGUCUGCCCCGGUCUCGGCUGCAACUGUAGCCGAGGAACAUGAUCUUGAGAAACGGUUAUGUGAGCUAUUUGAGAGAGAAGAGAUCAUGGAACGACAAUGCUCUAGGAUUGACUGGCUCAAGGAAGGGGAUCGAAACACUGGUUUUUUCCAAGCCCGUGCCAAGGCUCGGAGACGCACCAACAGAAUACACUUACUUCAACGUAAUGAUGGUUCUUUGUGUGAGUCACAAGAAGAGAUGAAAAUUAUGAUACAGAAUUUUUAUGAAGAGCUUUUUUCUUCUCAACCAUGUGAUUCUGCUGCGGUUCCUGAUGCUAUUCCACAGAAAAUUACUUCAGAGAUGAAUGAUGAUUUGUGUAAGCCAUACUCUUAUGAGGAGAUCUGA